AAAGCCAACAUUCAUAUAGGAGCAUGACUGAAAUAUAAUAGAUAUUUCAAAAAUUAUAGGAGACGUGAUUUGUUUAAAAAUAUGGAUGUAUUAUUGAAAAAUACGUACGUAUGUGUCUAAUAGAAUAUUAAAAUGGGGAAAAUAAAGACUCGGGUAAUGGCUUGUGGAUAGUGUUAUAAACCACUCUUAUCGAUAAAUGAAAAUCACAGAAAAAAUUUAAAAGAAAAAAAGGAUCCCACUAUAUAUAUUAAUUUUUUUUAAAAAUAGAAUAUCUAAUUGUAUAGCGGUGCGGCUAUACGCUAUAAAUACAAUAUAAUGACUACGAGAUAGAAUGGAUCUCCUUGAAUUCAUUCGAAGACGACCGUCUUCUAGCCCCUCUCUCUCACUCAGAUAACCGGAGACCUCUCUUCUUCAAUCCUCAUCUCUCUCUCUCUCUCUCUCUCUCUCUCUCUCUCUCUCUCUCUCAUAGCACCAUCGUCAUCUCAUCCCUGACCUUGGAGAUUCCAAAACGGGUUUUUUUUCCUAGGGGCAAGCGCCUGCCUAGACCGCCUAGCGCCUGCCUAGACCGCCUAGCGCCCGCCUAGUGACCGCCUAGCAACUGCCUAGACUGCCUAGCCCGCUUAGCCCGCCUAGCCCCAGCCUAGCCCGCCUAGGCCAUUUAUUUAUUUUCCUAAGCCUAGGCCAUUUAUUCAGUAAUGUUAACAAUAUGAGUGAGUGUGUUCAAGGAUUUAACUUGUAAAGAAGAUUUCCGAACAACAACAGAUAACCCAGAGAAGUUUCAUGGAGUUAUCCCAAUGGUGGCUGUUGGCCAACACUGCUGUGGUUGCUUACUGCAGCAUGUAUCAAGACGGGGAGGCCUCAGACUGCUAAGAGAGCAAUUGAACAGGUGAAGCAGCGGCUCUCAAAAGACGGGUGGCCAGAAUACUAUGAUGGCAAGGCAGGGAGAUAUAUCGGGAAGCAAGCAAGGAAGUACCAGACCUGGAGCAUCUCAGGAUAUCUGGUAGCUAAACUGAUGAUCGAGAACCCAGCCAGUCUUUCACUAAUCUCGCUUGAAGGGGACAAGAAGAUAGCCAAGCCAAGGCUCACCCGCUCCACUUCCUUUUGAGUCAAACCAGUGGCAGCAGCAUACAUGAUGCAUUACAGAUUCAGAGGGCGACAGAGUCUGCUGAAGGUUGUGUGAAAGACUUCAUCUUUGGAUCAAAAAGGCAACCUGAAAGAGAAAUUGAGAAGCUGGCCCUUAACAGUGCAAAGGAAUAUCAUUAGUCUUUUUUUUGAAAACAAAAAAUUGAACAUCCUUAGUUAAAUAGGCAGUUAACAAUGUAUUGAGAAUGAUUCUACUGUUCUUGUUAGUUUUAUGUGGUGAUAUUUGGAUCUUAUGUGGUGAUAUUUCAUGUUUUGUUUCAUUUCAUGUAUGAUCUUCACAUUCUGCUGAGAUAAAACCAAAUUCAGUAUGGAUAUGAUUCUUGGG
Prunus persica (peach) is the source of this 1468-nucleotide long non-coding RNA. RefSeq lists it as uncharacterized. NCBI's taxonomy places the organism in Eukaryota, Viridiplantae, Streptophyta, Magnoliopsida, Rosales, Rosaceae. The transcript has 3 exons. The record is from RefSeq and is a predicted model, not a curated record.